Molecule: transfer RNA, 73 nt
Filed under: Sus scrofa (pig)
Lineage: Eukaryota; Metazoa; Chordata; Mammalia; Artiodactyla; Suidae
Rfam family: tRNA
About the family: Transfer RNA (tRNA) molecules are approximately 80 nucleotides in length. Their secondary structure includes four short double-helical elements and three loops (D, anti-codon, and T loops). Further hydrogen bonds mediate the characteristic L-shaped molecular structure. tRNAs have two regions of fundamental functional importance: the anti-codon, which is responsible for specific mRNA codon recognition, and the 3' end, to which the tRNAs corresponding amino acid is attached (by aminoacyl-tRNA synthetases). tRNAs cope with the degeneracy of the genetic code in two manners: having more than one tRNA (with a specific anti-codon) for a particular amino acid; and 'wobble' base-pairing, i.e. permitting non-standard base-pairing at the 3rd anti-codon position.
Source: Rfam by way of RNAcentral
UCCUUGGUGGCCUAGCGGUUAAGGAUUCUGCAUUGUCACUGCUGCGACUCGGGUUCAAUCCCUGGCCCAGGAC